This 253-nucleotide ribosomal RNA is filed under the name uncultured bacterium. RNAcentral describes it as "partial 16S ribosomal RNA". It matches the Rfam family "Bacterial small subunit ribosomal RNA", at positions 524 to 776 of the family's 1533-position model. The record is from RNAcentral.
CACGUAGGGUGCGAGCGUUGUCCGGAAUUAUUGGGCGUAAAGAGCUCGUAGGCGGUGUGUCGCGUCGGCCGUGAAAACCUGCAGCUUAACUGUGGGCUUGCGGUCGAUACGGGCAUCACUGGAGUUCGGCAGGGGAGACUGGAAUUCCUGGUGUAGCGGUGAAAUGCGCAGAUAUCAGGAGGAACACCGGUGGCGAAGGCGGGUCUCUGGGCCGAUACUGACGCUGAGGAGCGAAAGCGUGGGAGCGAACAGG